Long non-coding RNA from Nylanderia fulva, 595 nucleotides. RefSeq lists it as uncharacterized. Lineage: Eukaryota; Metazoa; Arthropoda; Insecta; Hymenoptera; Formicidae. The record is from RefSeq and is a predicted model, not a curated record.
ACAUCGGGAGUUGCGGGUGCGAGUGCGUUCAUUCGAAAUGAGUAGUAUUUAGUUAUGUACGCGUUAUUUUGCAUACGAGAGACGCGGAACAAUAAGGAUGAGGUAAUUUACGACGAAUGUUGAGAGAUUAAAGAAGGAGGUACGGUGUCUUUUUGUCGAUUUGUUAUGAUGCUUUUUUAAGAUUAAAAUACGCGUCAAUUAAUUAGCAGGCGAAUAAAUAUUGCGUUUUUAUGUUUCGCGUGUGAAAUAUCUUGUAUUUCAUGAUGGACGUUUUGAUUUCUCGGGUUCGUUUUCGGUAUUCGUGACUCGUCAUAAGAUAUUGUGUUGCAAAUGUACACAUACCAUUAAUGUAAAAUUCUAGUAAAUGUCGGAAGUGAUUUUCGUGAUCGUAUUCGUAAUCGUGUGAGUGUUUGUAUCAACUUGAGUUAUGCAUAAGUUGCAUAAAAGAAGUUACGAACCAUUGAAAUUAAUUGAACAAUUGGGCACUUCGAUGGACAAUUGGACAAUUGCAAUGUUUGUCGGAGCAGGACAUUGAAGGAAUAAUGUCAUUAAUGAGGAGAAUGUCGUUACGUCGACGGCAAUUUCCUCGCCAGGU